UACAGAGGUCUCAAGCGUUGUUCGGAUUCAUUGGGCGUAAAGGGUGCGUAGGUGGUGACGUAAGUCGGAUGUGAAAUCUCGGAGCUCAACUCCGAAACGGCAUUGGAAACUGCGUUGCUAGAGGGUUGGAGGGGGGACUGGAAUGCUUGGUGUAGCAGUGAAAUGCGUAGAUAUCAAGCGGAACACCAGUGGCGAAGGCGAGUCCCUGGACAACACCUGACACUGAGGCACGAAAGCUAGGGGAGCAAACAGG
This 253-nucleotide ribosomal RNA is filed under the name uncultured bacterium. Its description in RNAcentral is "partial 16S ribosomal RNA". It matches the Rfam family "Bacterial small subunit ribosomal RNA", at positions 524 to 776 of the family's 1533-position model. The record is from RNAcentral.